Molecule: ribosomal RNA, 488 nt
Filed under: uncultured bacterium
Lineage: Bacteria
Description: partial 16S ribosomal RNA
Rfam family: Bacterial small subunit ribosomal RNA
Source: RNAcentral
GACGAACGCUGGCGGCGUGCUUAACACAUGCAAGUCGAACGGAAAGGCCCUGCUUUUGUGGGGUGCUCGAGUGGCGAACGGGUGAGUAACACGUGAGUAACCUGCCCUUGACUUUGGGAUAACUUCAGGAAACUGGGGCUAAUACCGGAUAGGAGCUCCUGCUGCAUGGUGGGGGUUGGAAAGUUUCGGCGGUUGGGGAUGGACUCGCGGCUUAUCAGCUUGUUGGUGGGGUAGUGGCUUACCAAGGCUUUGACGGGUAGCCGGCCUGAGAGGGUGACCGGCCACAUUGGGACUGAGAUACGGCCCAGACUCCUACGGGAGGCAGCAGUGGGGAAUAUUGCACAAAGGGCGGAAGCCUGAUGCAGCAACGCCGCGUGCGGGAUGACGGCCUUCGGGUUGUAAACCGCUUUUGUUCGGGAAGAAAUCCUCUGGGCUAAUACCCCGGGGGGAUGACGGUACCGGAAGAAUAAGCACCGGCUAACUACGUG